GAGGAAUAUUGGUCAAUGGGCGAAAGCCUGAACCAGCCAUGCCGCGUGCAGGAAGACUGCCCUAUGGGUUGUAAACUGCUUUUGUAUGGGGCGAAACACCAGUCGAGCAUUGGUUAUGACGGUACCAUAGGAAUAAGCAUCGGCUAACUCCGUGCCAGCAGCCGCGGUAAUACGGAGGAUGCGAGCGUUAUCCGGAUUUAUUGGGUUUAAAGGGUUCGUAGGCGGCUUAAUAAGUCAGUGGUGAAAUACCGGAGCUUAACUUCGGGGCUGCCAUUGAUACUGUUGAGCUAGAGUAUGAUCGACGUUGGCGGAAUGUGACAAGUAGCGGUGAAAUGCAUAGAUAUGUCACAGAACACCGAUAGCGAAGGCAGCUGACGAGGUCACAUACUGACGCUGAGGAACGAAAGCGUGGGGAUCAAAC
RNAcentral lists this ribosomal RNA (421 nucleotides) under uncultured bacterium. RNAcentral's name for it is "bacterial SSU rRNA". It matches the Rfam family "Bacterial small subunit ribosomal RNA", at positions 356 to 773 of the family's 1533-position model. The record is from RNAcentral.